RNAcentral lists this long non-coding RNA (581 nucleotides) under Mytilus galloprovincialis (Mediterranean mussel). The record is from RNAcentral. Lineage: Eukaryota; Metazoa; Mollusca; Bivalvia; Mytilida; Mytilidae.
GGAACGAUCACUGAGGGGAGGAUAACGUCCUCAUGAUUGGUGAGUGCACAAAUGGUUAACAACUUUAUAUUGAUUACAUAUAUUUUUAUAGAAAUUAGGUAUUGGACAUUUCAUAUUAAUGGCCAGUUUGGUAAAAUGAAGAUUUUCCCUACACUUUGUACAAAAAAAAACAUGUAGGCACAAUAGUACCUUUCGAGAACCUGUUAUUUUUGGGGAAUUCAGACUUUAUAGUUUUUUAUAAACAGAAAUAGGAUUUUUAAAGGAGAGGUUGAAAAAAUAUACCCUUUUUUUUACUCUAAACUCCUGUCCUGCUUUUUUUCCCCAAAUUUCAACCCCCCUUUUUUCAAUAUAAAAACAAUUAGUAACUCCCCUUAUUGAUGUAUUCGGCUUCAACAACUUCUUGGACUAACUUCAAUAGUUCAUGUCAUAUACUGUAAGGGACGACAUCAAAAGUUCAAUGUAAGAAAAAAAGUUAAUUUGCAUUGAUUUUUUCACUGAAACCUUAACUUAAUUUGGGAAAAAUUGAUUGAUCAAUAAGGAUUUAUGUACAAUCGAUGUCAAAUAAUCAAACAAACAAAACU